Molecule: ribosomal RNA, 443 nt
Filed under: uncultured bacterium
Lineage: Bacteria
Description: partial 16S ribosomal RNA
Rfam family: Bacterial small subunit ribosomal RNA
Source: RNAcentral
CCUGCGGGAGGCAGCAGUGGGGAAUAUUGGGCAAUGGGCGCAAGCCUGACCCAGCAACGCCGCGUGAAGGAAGAAGGCUGUCGGGUUGUAAACGUCUUUUCGCAGGGACGAAGCAAGUGACAGUACCUGAGGAAUAAGCCACGGCUAACUACGGGCCAGCAGCCGCGGUAAUACGUAGGUGGCAAGCGUGAUCCGGAUUUACUGGGUGUAAAGGGCGUGUAGGCGGGACUGCAAGUCAGAUGUGAAAACCACUGGCUCAACCGGUGGCCUGCAUUUGCAACGGUCGUUCUUGAGUACUGGAGCGGCAGCCGGAAUUCCUAGUGUAGCGGUGCAAUGCGUAGAUAUUAGGAGGAACCCCAGUGGCGAAGGCGGUCUGCUGGACCGCAACUGACGCUGAGGCGCGAAAGCGUGGGGAGCAAACAGGAUUAGAUACCCGUGUAGUC